This is an RNA transcript of Beta vulgaris subsp. vulgaris (sugar beet), 2300 nucleotides long. It is a transcript of the gene named 4-hydroxy-tetrahydrodipicolinate synthase, chloroplastic, with no coding region annotated. NCBI's taxonomy places the organism in Eukaryota, Viridiplantae, Streptophyta, Magnoliopsida, Caryophyllales, Amaranthaceae. The record is from RefSeq and is a predicted model, not a curated record. The transcript is spliced from 6 exons.
UGUGCAAGUCAGUCAACUCAAGACUAAACUCACCUCCCACUAUUUAGGAGUGUCUUCACUCUUCCUCACAAAACCUCCCUCAGUGUUCUACCAAACAAAGCAUAACACCACACCAAUAAUACCAGUAACCAGUGCAGCAACGUUGGUCGAAAACACACUCUAGCACAGCAGCAGUGAUUAGGGUUUACUGUGAAUUUUGGAUUUGCGCAAUUUAUCGGAAUGACUACUUUAACGAGCCAACGAUUGUUCUUGAAAGACUCCACUACUUUCAGACUCUCUCGCCCUGCUUCACCAUAUCUUUCUGACAGAGGAUAUGUUAGAUGGAGGUCCCCUAAAGCUGCUGUGAUUGCGAAUUUCCAUCUUCCUAUGCGUAGUUAUGAAAUGAAGAACAGGACGAAUGUGGAUGAUAUAAAGUCCUUGAGGCUGAUUACGGCCAUUAAAACCCCGUACCUACCAGAUGGACGCUUUGAUCUUGAAGCUUACGAUGCCUUAGUAAAUAUGCAGAUUAAUGGUGGCGCUGAAGCUGUUAUUGUUGGAGGUACAACUGGUGAAGGACAACUAAUGAGCUGGGAUGAGCACAUUAUGCUUAUUGGCCAUACCGUCAACUGUUUUGGCAGUAACAUCAAAGUGAUCGGGAACACUGGCAGCAACUCAACACGAGAAGCAAUACAUGCUACUGAACAGGGGUUUGCUGUUGGUAUGCAUGCUGCACUUCAUAUCAAUCCUUACUAUGGCAAAACCUCAAUGGAGGGUUUGAAUGCUCAUUUCGCAAGCGUGCUCUCUAUGGGACCAGCCAUCGUAUACAAUGUACCUUCAAGAACAAGUCAAGAUAUUCCUCCUGAGGUGAUACAUUCUCUAGCACAAAAUGCUAACUUUGCUGGUGUUAAAGAAUGUGUUGGAAAUGAAAGAAUUAAGCAAUACACAGAUAAAAGGAUUGUCGUUUGGAGUGGCAAUGAUGAUCAGUGUCAUGAUUCGAGGUGGUCAUAUGGGGCAACUGGAGUGAUAUCUGUUACUAGUAAUUUAGUUCCAGGCUUGAUGUGGCAACUAAUGUUUGAGGGAAAGAAUCCCUCUCAAAAUUCCAAGCUUAUGCCUUUAAUUGAGUGGCUUUUUCAGGAGCCAAAUCCUAUUGGCUUAAACACUGCUUUAGCGCAACUUGGAGUAGCAAGGCCAGUUUUCCGGCUUCCUUAUGUACCACUUCCACUGGAAAAGAGGAUUGAAUUUGUGCAUAUAGUGAAGCAAAUCGGACGGGAGAAUUUUGUUGGUGACAAAGAUGUUCAGGUCCUUGAUGACAAUGAUUUUAUCUUGGUUGGUCGGUACUGAAAUCUUUGUCUUUGUAGCGUUGCAUUGUUGACAGAAUCCGGAAAUAUGCUUGGGAAUGAGGAUUCAGGAUUACCAGUUUGCUGAUUCUUCUCCCUGCUUGUUUCAAAUUUCGCUUAACUAUGCCGACUGAUUUUUCUGCAAGUAUGUGGUUCAAAACUUUUGAGCUGUGAGGAUGAAAAUAGAAGUGUUACGUACGGAUUCCAUAUCCUUUUAGAGUGUCACGUGUCUGAGUUUCUGACACGGGUAGGCAAGACAAAUGAAGUCUUGCAGUGACAUGGCUCAAGAUUCAAAGUAUUAGAGAAAUACCUGUAUCCAUCGGCGACAAAGCUCUUCUGUUGUACUCUCAGCAAAACCACAUAUAUCUGCUCCAAUCAUUGGCAUCCCAAAAAGUCCAAAGUUCAGCAUAGUUGGAAUUGAGUAUUGCAGGUCAUCCCAUCUUGCAGCAUUAUCUCCAGUCCAAUGUGCAGUGUACUUCCCAGACCCAGCAAACGUUGACCUUGAAAGUAGAAAUGGCCUCUCGUUGCUGGUUCUAACGAGUGCUUCUCGGGUGGCUUGAGAUUCAAGAAACCCAUAUAGAUUAUGGGCAUUGUAUUCUGUAACAUUACCAUAAUGCAUAGCUGUUGCUGGAAUAGUCUUGCUAUUUAUUGGUACACGGCCUCCAGAAUUAUUGAUCUUAUAUGGUGGAUUGUCAAGCGUAGAACCAGGGGUAGGUGCGGAAGUAAUAAAAUUUGAAGCUUCAUUCAUAUCUAUCCAAAUGCCAUCAAUCGGAAGAAUAUCGCGGAAACGCUUGAUCUCGUCAACCCAGAAACUCCGAGCAGCAGGAUCCAAAAAAUCAGGGUAGUAAACUGGUCCUGGCCAAACAGAACCCAGGUGAAUUACCAGGAUCCAAGAUUGGAACAUAUCUUUGGCCAUUCCUGUGGAGUUUUGUCACAAAUUGCUGCAUCUUGUCUAGUGGAAAAUGUACAGGAUCUAGAGUGAAA